AUUGAACGCUGGCGGCAGGCCUAACACAUGCAAGUCGAGCGGCAGCGGGACCUUCGGGUUGCCGGCGAGCGGCGGACGGGUGAGUAAUGCCUAGGAAUCUGCCUGUUAGUGGGGGAUAACGCGGGGAAACUCGCGCUAAUACCGCAUACGUCCUACGGGAGAAAGCGGGGGCUCUUCGGACCUCGCGCUAACAGAUGAGCCUAGGUCGGAUUAGCUAGUUGGUGGGGCAAUGGCCCACCAAGGCGACGAUCCGUAACUGGUCUGAGAGGAUGAUCAGUCACACUGGAGCUGAGACACGGUCCAGACUCCUACGGGAGUCCGCAGUGGGGAAUAUUGGACAAUGGGCGAAAGCCUGAUCCAGCCAUGCCGCGUGUGUGAAGAAGGUCUUCGGAUUGUAAAGCACUUUAAGUCGGGAGGAAGGGCUGUAGGCUAAUACCUUGCAGUUUUGACGUUACCGACAGAAUAAGCACCGGCUAACUUCGUGCCAGCCGCCGCCGUAA
This 500-nucleotide ribosomal RNA is filed under the name uncultured bacterium. RNAcentral's name for it is "partial 16S ribosomal RNA". It matches the Rfam family "Bacterial small subunit ribosomal RNA", at positions 30 to 523 of the family's 1533-position model. The record is from RNAcentral.